GUGUCCUCCACAAGCCGAAACCGCACCGAGUAGGCGGCCGUCCGAUCAGUGGGCGUGGGGAGGCGGCCAGGGCCCGGGCUCGCCGUCCCGGCCAUCCUGCUCGCCCUCGGCGGGAGGAGGCAGGGCGGCCCCACUCUCAGGCUUCUGCCACAUGCCUUCGGGCAGGCGGUGCCCGGCGAGCCACCCCAGAGACUGCGCCAACAGGCCAGGGAAGACGGCGGCGGGAGCACCAGGAGGUCGCGGCGAGCACCUCGGAGCCCGCCCACGGCCGCGCAGCCGCAGUCCGCGCUCCCGGCUUCCUCGGCCAAGAUGGCGGCCGGGGGCAGCGCGCAGCCCUCCGGCUCCCUCCCGGGCUGGCGGCGUGCACCGGCUGCUGCAGGUGCAGGCGCCGCGGGGCGUGUGUGCCUGUGCCGUGGGGUAAACGCCCGAAAGCAGCCACUCAGGGUGGGGAAGCUUCUCGGUGCGAGAGCUUGCACAGAGUUCGGGCACCUUUUUUUUUUUUCUUAUCUGAGAUGUUGAGGCUUAAGUGCGGCGUGCAUAGAGACAAGGCUGGCAUGGUAAGUUAGAAAAGGGCCUCUGACAGGAUGCUAGGGACAUUAAAAUUUAUCAGGACACCUGGGGAAAGACUGCAGCCUUUUGUCUACGGCCCCGGUGGCAUGUGGCGAGGAUGCUUCUGAGAGUGCGGAAGAGGAUCUUGGAGGCAGCCCGCAACACUGGUCCGUGGUUAAUUGCAAGGAUUUGUUCACCAUUUCAGAAAACAGCACUACCAACACUGUUUACAGUAUUUGAGUUACCCAAACAACACACCUCUAUUCCUCCACGUCGGUAGAUGAGUGGAGGACCUGACUCACUUCUGGGCUGUUAGUCCUGGGUGCUAUAAGCAAGCAGGCUGAGCAAGCCAUGACAGCAAGCAGUGCUCCUCCAUGGCCUCUGCUUCAGUGCCUGCCUCCAGUUCCUGGCUCCAGUUCCUGCCUCCGGUGCCUGCCUCCAGUUCCUGCCUCCGGUGCCUGCCUCCAGUUCCUGGCUCCAGUUCCUGCCUCUGGUGCCUGCCUCCAGUUCCUGCCUCUGGUGCCUGCCUCCAGUUCCUGCCUCUGGUGCCUGCCUCCAGUGCCUGCACUAACUUCCUUCAGUGAUAGACUAUGAUAUGGAAGUAUAAAGCAAAAUAAACCCUUUUCAAGUUUCUUUUGA
Molecule: long non-coding RNA, 1188 nt
Organism: Peromyscus californicus insignis
Lineage: Eukaryota; Metazoa; Chordata; Mammalia; Rodentia; Cricetidae
Exons: 3
Source: RefSeq, a predicted model, not a curated record